RNAcentral lists this ribosomal RNA (429 nucleotides) under uncultured archaeon. RNAcentral's name for it is "bacterial SSU rRNA". It matches the Rfam family "Archaeal small subunit ribosomal RNA", at positions 474 to 903 of the family's 1478-position model. The record is from RNAcentral.
UACCAGCUCUCCGAGUGGUAGGGAUGAUUAUUGGGCUUAAAGCGUCCGUAGCCGGCUUAGCAAGUUUCCUGUUAAAUUCAGCGACCUAAUCGUUGAGCCGCGGGAAAUACUACUAGGCUAGGAGGCGGGAGAGGUCGACGGUACUUCUGGGGUAGGGGUGAAAUCCUAUAAUCCCGGGAGGACCACCAGUGGCGAAGGCUGUCGACUAGAACGCGCUCGACGGUGAGGGACGAAAGCUGGGGGAGCGAACCGGAUUAGAUACCCGGGUAGUCCCAGCUGUAAACGAUGCGGGCUAGGUGUUGGGGUGGCUACGUGCCACUUCAGUGCCGCAGGGAAGCCAUUAAGCUCGCCGCCUGGGGAGUACGGCCGCAAGGCUGAAACUUAAAGGAAUUGGCGGGGGAGCACCACAAGGCGUGAAGCUUGCGGUUC